RNAcentral lists this ribosomal RNA (275 nucleotides) under uncultured bacterium. RNAcentral describes it as "partial 16S ribosomal RNA". It matches the Rfam family "Bacterial small subunit ribosomal RNA", at positions 338 to 630 of the family's 1533-position model. The record is from RNAcentral.
CCUACGGGGGGCUGCAGUAGGGAAUAUUAGAAAUGGACGAAAGUCUGAUCUAGCAACACCGCGUGUGCGAAGAAGGCCUUCGGGUCGUAAAGCACUUUUUGGAAGGAAUAGGAAGGAAUGUACUUCCAGAAUAAGUCUCGGCUAACUACGUGCCAGCAGCCGCGGUAACACGUAGGAGGCAAACGUUAUCCGGAUUUACUGGGCGUAAAGCGCGUGUAGGUGGUACUGUAAGUAGGGCGUGAAAGCUCCUGGCUCAACUGGGAGAGGCCGUUCUA